Molecule: long non-coding RNA, 920 nt
Filed under: Pan troglodytes (chimpanzee)
Lineage: Eukaryota; Metazoa; Chordata; Mammalia; Primates; Hominidae
Description: long non-coding RNA NONPTRT000448
Source: RNAcentral
AGAGGUGUCCUCGAUGACAGCACUCAUGGGGAGCUGGGCCUGAAGCCACAGGAAGGGGCUGAGAUGGAAAUGGGAAGAAAGGCCUCCACCAUGAAAUCUUCCUGAACACUCCAGCUGUCAGUGGCCAACUCUCCUCUGAGCAUCUAGAAAACAAAUUCUUCCUUUUCUAUGCGAGAACUCACUCAUUACCAUGAGGAUGGCAUCAAGCCAUUUGCCUCCAACACUGGGGAUCAAAUUUCAACGUGAGGUUUGGUGGGGUCAAAUAUCCAGACCAUAGCACCAUAUGGUUAGCUACUUUGGUUAAGGUAACAUGCCCAAUGUCAGCCCAGCUCACAAGUGGCUCCCAGCAUUCUAACUCAAGGACCUAUGCCCUAACUGCUACUCUGUGCCAUCUCUCACCAAAAUCUGGUAUAAGGCAAGGCUGCACAAAGGACUGGUUGUAGCCCUGAGCUGGGGAAGAGAUGAUUAGUUAUAAAAGUGAGAUCAAGCCACAAACUAAAGUUGCAUCAAGCUUAUUGAGAGGACUAAAAGAGAAAAAGUAUGUGAGAGCUCUUCAUACCCUCUACACCUAUGAAGAUAUUACAUGUUAAGGACAUUGAGCAGAACGUCUGACUCGACAAUGCCUGGGUUUAAUAACCUCCACUUUGGCAGUCAACAACAAAAGAAUGCCCAGUGGCAAGGGCAGGUCCCUCUGCUGGGAGCUGGAGAAUCAAGGAAAAAGCUAUCUUAGAGACAAAGACAGAGUUUGUUUCCUGCACUAAAGAGACUGGAAAGUGUGUAACCACAUUUGCCAGACUCCUUUGCAGCUAGGGUUCAUGUGAGACCCAGUUCCACCAAGAGAAUCCUCACAUGAACCUGGGGAGGGGAUGGAGAGAGGAGCUAUAGAGUUAAAAAAAAAUGUAAAGCAGUGGUAGGCCAAG